AUAAGUGCAUCAGGCGGAUGCCUUGGCGAUGAUAGGCGACGAAGGACGUGUAAGCCUGCGAAAAGCGCGGGGGAGCUGGCAAUAAAGCUAUGAUUCCGCGAUGUCCGAAUGGGGAAACCCACUGCAUUCUGUGCAGUAUCCUAAGUUGAAUACAUAGGCUUAGAGAAGCGAACCCGGAGAACUGAACCAUCUAAGUACCCGGAGGAAAAGAAAUCAACCGAGAUUCCGCAAGUAGUGGCGAGCGAACGCGGAGGAGCCUGUACGUAAUAACUGUCGAGAUAGAAGAACAAGCUGGGAAGCUUGACCAUAGCGGGUGACAGUCCCGUAUUCGAAAUCUCAACAGCGGUACUAAGCGUACGAAAAGUAGGGCGGGACACGUGAAAUCCUGUCUGAAUAUGGGGGGACCAUCCUCCAAGGCUAAAUACUCAUCAUCGACCGAUAGUGAACCAGUACCGUGAGGGAAAGGCGAAAAGAACCCCGGGAGGGGAGUGAAACAGAACCUGAAACCUGAUGCAUACAAACAGUGGGAGCGCCCUAGUGGUGUGACUGCGUACCUUUUGUAUAAUGGGUCAACGACUUACAUUCAGUAGCGAGCUUAACCGGAUAGGGGAGGCGUAGGGAAACCGAGUCUUAAUAGGGCGAUGAGUUGCUGGGUGUAGACCCGAAACCGAGUGAUCUAUCCAUGGCCAGGUUGAAGGUGCCGUAACAGGUACUGGAGGACCGAACCCACGCAUGUUGCAAAAUGCGGGGAUGAGCUGUGGGUAGGGGUGAAAGGCUAAACAAACUCGGAGAUAGCUGGUUCUCCCCGAAAACUAUUUAGGUAGUGCCUCGAGCAAGACACUGAUGGGGGUAAAGCACUGUUAUGGCUAGGGGGUUAUUGCAACUUACCAACCCAUGGCAAACUCAGAAUACCAUCAAGUGGUUCCUCGGGAGACAGACAGCGGGUGCUAACGUCCGUUGUCAAGAGGGAAACAACCCAGACCGCCGGCUAAGGUCCCAAAUGAUAGAUUAAGUGGUAAACGAAGUGGGAAGGCACAGACAGCCAGGAUGUUGGCUUAGAAGCAGCCAUCAUUUAAAGAAAGCGUAAUAGCUCACUGGUCGAGUCGUCCUGCGCGGAAGAUGUAACGGGGCUCAAAUCUAUAACCGAAGCUGCGGAUGCCGGUUUACCGGCAUGGUAGGGGAGCGUUCUGUAGGCUGAUGAAGGUGCAUUGUAAAGUGUGCUGGAGGUAUCAGAAGUGCGAAUGUUGACAUGAGUAGCGAUAAAGCGGGUGAAAAGCCCGCUCGCCGAAAGCCCAAGGUUUCCUACGCAACGUUCAUCGGCGUAGGGUAAGUCGGCCCCUAAGGCGAGGCAGAAAUGCGUAGUCGAUGGGAAACAGGUUAAUAUUCCUGUACUUGAUUCAAAUGCGAUGUGGGGACGGAGAAGGUUAGGUUGGCAAGCUGUUGGAAUAGCUUGUUUAAGCCGGUAGGUGGAAGACUUAGGCAAAUCCGGGUUUUCUUAACACCGAGAAGUGAUGACGAGUGUCUACGGACACGAAGCAACCGAUACCACGCUUCCAGGAAAAGCCACUAAGCUUCAGUUUGAAUCGAACCGUACCGCAAACCGACACAGGUGGGCAGGAUGAGAAUUCUAAGGCGCUUGAGAGAACUCGGGAGAAGGAACUCGGCAAAUUGAUACCGUAACUUCGGGAGAAGGUAUGCCCUCUAAGGUUAAGGACUUGCUCCGUAAGCCCCGGAGGGUCGCAGAGAAUAGGUGGCUGCGACUGUUUAUUAAAAACACAGCACUCUGCCAACACGAAAGUGGACGUAUAGGGUGUGACGCCUGCCCGGUGCCGGAAGGUUAAUUGAAGAUGUGCAAGCAUCGGAUCGAAGCCCCGGUAAACGGCGGCCGUAACUAUAACGGUCCUAAGGUAGCGAAAUUCCUUGUCGGGUAAGUUCCGACCCGCACGAAUGGCGUAACGAUGGCCACACUGUCUCCUCCCGAGACUCAGCGAAGUUGAAGUGGUUGUGAAGAUGCAAUCUACCCGCUGCUAGACGGAGAGACCCCGUGAACCUUUACUGUAGCUUUGCAUUGGACUUUGAAGUCACUUGUGUAGGAUAGGUGGGAGGCUUGGAAGCAGAGACGCCAGUCUCUGUGGAGUCGUCCUUGAAAUACCACCCUGGUGUCUUUGAGGUUCUAACCCAGACCCGUCAUCCGGGUCGGGGACCGUGCAUGGUAGGCAGUUUGACUGGGGCGGUCUCCUCCCAAAGCGUAACGGAGGAGUUCGAAGGUUACCUAGGUCCGGUCGGAAAUCGGACUGAUAGUGCAAUGGCAAAAGGUAGCUUAACUGCGAGACCGACAAGUCGGGCAGGUGCGAAAGCAGGACAUAGUGAUCCGGUGGUUCUGUAUGGAAGGGCCAUCGCUCAACGGAUAAAAGGUACUCCGGGGAUAACAGGCUGAUUCCGCCCAAGAGUUCAUAUCGACGGCGGAGUUUGGCACCUCGAUGUCGGCUCAUCACAUCCUGGGGCUGUAGUCGGUCCCAAGGGUAUGGCUGUUCGCCAUUUAAAGUGGUACGUGAGCUGGGUUUAAAACGUCGUGAGACAGUUUGGUCCCUAUCUGCAGUGGGCGUUGGAAGUUUGACGGGGGCUGCUCCUAGUACGAGAGGACCGGAGUGGACGAACCUCUGGUGUACCGGUUGUAACGCCAGUUGCAUAGCCGGGUAGCUAAGUUCGGAAGAGAUAAGCGCUGAAAGCAUCUAAGCGCGAAACUCGCCUGAAGAUGAGACUUCCCUUGCGGUUUAACCGCACUAAAGGGUCGUUCGAGACCAGGACGUUGAUAGGUGGGGUGUGGAAGCGCGGUAACGCGUGAAGCUAACCCAUACUAAUUGCCCGUGAGGCUUGACU
This 2880-nucleotide ribosomal RNA is filed under the name Neisseria gonorrhoeae. RNAcentral describes it as "bacterial LSU rRNA". It matches the Rfam family "Bacterial large subunit ribosomal RNA". The record is from RNAcentral. Lineage: Bacteria; Pseudomonadati; Pseudomonadota; Betaproteobacteria; Neisseriales; Neisseriaceae.